GAGUCUAGCAUGUGCGCGAGUCAUUGGGAUUGACUAAACCUAAAGGCGCAAUGAAAGUGAAGGCACGCCUCGCGCGGGCCGAGGGAGGAUGGGCGACGUUGCGACGUCGCUCCGCACUCCCGGGGCGUCUCGUUCUCAUCGCGAGAAGAGGCGCACCCAGAGCGUACACGCUGGGACCCGAAAGAUGGUGAACUAUGCCUGGUCAGGACGAAGUCAGGGGAAACCCUGAUGGAGGUCCGUAGCGAUUCUGACGUGCAAAUCGAUCGUCGGAACUGGGUAUAGGGGCGAAAGACUAAUCGAACCAUCUAGUAGCUGGUUCCCUCCGAAGUUUCCCUCAGGAUAGCUGGCGCUCGCUUUGCGAGUCUCAUCCGGUAAAGCGAAUGAUUAGAGGCAUUGGGGUCGAAACGGCCUCAACCUAUUCUCAAACUUUAAAUGGGUGAGAUCUCCGGCUUGCUCGAACGUGAAGCCGCGAGAUACUUAACAAGGAUCAGAGUGCCAAGUGGGCCACUUUUGGUAAGCAGAACUGGCGCUGUGGGAUGAACCAAACGCAGAGUUAAAGCGCCUAAAUCGACGCUUAUGGGAUACCAUGAAAGGCGUUGGUAACUUAAGACAGCAGGACGGUGGCCAUGGAAGUCGGA
Molecule: ribosomal RNA, 638 nt
Filed under: Mircogioton sp. NLG-2014
Lineage: Eukaryota; Metazoa; Arthropoda; Insecta; Coleoptera; Hydrophilidae
Description: eukaryotic LSU rRNA
Rfam family: Eukaryotic large subunit ribosomal RNA
Source: RNAcentral